Molecule: non-coding RNA, 71 nt
Organism: Podarcis lilfordi (Lilford's wall lizard)
Lineage: Eukaryota; Metazoa; Chordata; Lepidosauria; Squamata; Lacertidae
Source: the annotation of a GenBank genome assembly
GGUCCGUAGCUCAGUAGGAGAGCAUCUGCUUUGUGAGCAGAAGGUCCCGGGUUCAAACCCCGGCAUCUCCA